UGGGAGGUCGUCUAACUGGCAAGACAUCGGACUCUGGAUCCGAGAAUCUAGGUUCGACUCCUAGCCUCCCAGCCA
RNAcentral lists this transfer RNA (75 nucleotides) under Acidobacteriota bacterium. RNAcentral describes it as "Acidobacteria bacterium (groundwater metagenome) tRNA-Gln". It matches the Rfam family "tRNA". From Rfam's summary of the family: Transfer RNA (tRNA) molecules are approximately 80 nucleotides in length. RNAcentral also lists the same sequence under 3 other names. Lineage: Bacteria; Pseudomonadati; Acidobacteriota. The record is from RNAcentral.